Molecule: long non-coding RNA, 334 nt
Filed under: Mytilus galloprovincialis (Mediterranean mussel)
Lineage: Eukaryota; Metazoa; Mollusca; Bivalvia; Mytilida; Mytilidae
Source: RNAcentral
CAUUAAAUUUUAAAAGAACCCUUACAAUAUCUAAAUAGAUAUAGACAGAUGUGGUAUGAGUUCCAAUGAGACAACUCUCCAUCCAAAUAACAAUUUAUAAAAGUAAACCAUUAUAGGUCAAGGAACGGCCUUCAACACAGAGCCUUGGCUCACACCGAACAACAAGCUAUAAAGGGCCCCAAAAAUUACCAGUGUAAAACCAUGCAUUCAAUCGGGAAAACCAACGGUCUAAUCUAUAUAAAAAAAACGAGAAAUGAGAAACGUGUAUAAAUUACACAAACAAACGACAACUACUGUACAUCAGAUUCCUGACUCAGGACAGGUGCAAACAUUU